RNAcentral lists this ribosomal RNA (491 nucleotides) under uncultured bacterium. RNAcentral's name for it is "partial 16S ribosomal RNA". It matches the Rfam family "Bacterial small subunit ribosomal RNA", at positions 29 to 506 of the family's 1533-position model. The record is from RNAcentral.
AGUGAACGCUGGCGGUAGACCUAACACAUGCAAGUCGAACGGCAGCACAGUAAGAGCUUGCUCUUACGGGUGGCGAGUGGCAGACGGGUGAGGAAUACAUCGGAAUCUACUUUUUCGUGGGGGAUAACGUAGGGAAACUUACGCUAAUACCGCAUACGACCUACGGGUGAAAGCAGGGGAUCUUCGGACCUUGCGCGAUUGAAUGAGCCGAUGUCGGAUUAGCUAGUUGGCGGGGUAAAGGCCCACCAAGGCGACGAUCCGUAGCUGGUCUGAGAGGAUGAUCAGCCACACUGGAACUGAGACACGGUCCAGACUCCUACGGGAGGCAGCAGUGGGGAAUAUUGGACAAUGGGCGCAAGCCUGAUCCAGCCAUACCGCGUGGGUGAAGAAGGCCUUCGGGUUGUAAAGCCCUUUUGUUGGGAAAGAAAAGCAGCAGGUUAAUACCCCGCUGUUCUGACGGUACCCAAAGAAUAAGCACCGGCUAACUUCGU